AAUCAAUUUGAUUUUUGAGGUACUAAUUAAUUUUGUUGGUUUAGUGUGCUCAAUUUCACUGGCAGUUCUGCUUGCCAUGUAAUCGAUUGCCAUAAGUAAUACACCAGAGUUCAUCUUUUGUGGAACAAGGAUGAGAUACUUGCCAAGAAAAGUUCCUUUCCAAACAAAGAAUCAGCAGAAGUCACAUUUUUCCUCUUCUGGAUCAUUAAACAUGAUGGUUGCGCGUUGACAUCCCAGAGAGUUGCGCUUUUGAACCAGGUUUCUCCGAACAACUUUUCUUGCAAUCCUAUGCUCAUGAAGAUGUUCCAAUUCUU
RNAcentral lists this long non-coding RNA (314 nucleotides) under Populus tremula. Its description in RNAcentral is "long non-coding RNA (PTRE_LNC002297)". Lineage: Eukaryota; Viridiplantae; Streptophyta; Magnoliopsida; Malpighiales; Salicaceae. The record is from RNAcentral.